This 490-nucleotide ribosomal RNA is filed under the name uncultured bacterium. RNAcentral's name for it is "partial 16S ribosomal RNA". It matches the Rfam family "Bacterial small subunit ribosomal RNA", at positions 30 to 507 of the family's 1533-position model. The record is from RNAcentral.
UGAACGCUGGCGGCAUGCUUUACACAUGCAAGUCGAACGGUAACAGGCCUUCGGGUGCUGACGAGUGGCGAACGGGUGAGUAAUGCAUCGGAACGUACCCAGAGGUUGGGGAUAACGCAGCGAAAGCUGUGCUAAUACCGCAUGUGAUCUGAGGAUGAAAGCGGGGGACCGAGCAGCAAUGUUUGGCCUCGCGCCUUUGGAGCGGCCGAUGUCGGAUUAGCUAGUUGGUGGGGUAAAGGCCUACCAAGGCGACGAUCCGUAGCUGGUCUGAGAGGACGACCAGCCACACUGGGACUGAGACACGGCCCAGACUCCUACGGGAGGCAGCAGUGGGGAAUUUUGGACAAUGGGCGCAAGCCUGAUCCAGCAAGGCCGCGUGCGGGAAGAAGGCCUUCGGGUUGUAAACCGCUUUUGGCAGGAACGAAACGGUGUCCGCUAAUACCGGGCGCUAAUGACGGUACCUGCAGAAUAAGCACCGGCUAACUACGUG